GAAUGCCUGAAUCUGAAUCUUUAAUAAACGUCAGUAUUUUUUAUUUUUGAGUCAUUCCUGUGUUUGUCUUAACUGUUUUUCAGAUUGUGUUUUUGUGUGGUUAAAAUUCCAAACAAAGUGAAUGUGAUUACAUGUAGGGGUGGAGCUAAAGCAGCAUGAUAAAACAUGAAAGAUACCAAACAUAUGUAGAACCUGCAGGCGGCCAAACUAAUCACUUAAUUUUUCCUUUAACAGGCUCCCAGCUGCAUUUAGCAAAAGAGCAAAGCAACGACGGAGAGAAAAUUCGAGAGCUGUCGGAGGUGCUGCGGGAUAAAGAGCGUCGCAUUCAACAGCAACUGGAACGCUGCGCAGAGGAGCGAGGGAGGAAGAUGGAGGAGCAGAGGAGGAAGGAGCAGCAGCGCAAGGCGGCGGCUGUGGAGAAGAGACGAAAACAGCAAGAGGCGGAAAAGGAGAGGCUGGAGGCCAUGGUACGCCGAAGAGCCGGGGCCCUGAAAGACGAGGAGGGGGAGGUGGAGGUGGAGGAGGAGAAGCCCGGGAGCACCUGGAUAACAGGCCUAAACGGUGGACAUGGGGAGGACCGCCUGAUGGAGUGGAGGCGGUUGACUUCCUGUCUCCACCAACUGAUCAGCCAAUCAACAAACAGCUUUCCAACUCUUCAGCUGCUCUUCACUCACCGGACGGAGUGUCUUUUGUGUCCCAUCGAACAGCUUCAUCCAACAACCACAAACUAA
This 731-nucleotide long non-coding RNA is filed under the name Oreochromis niloticus (Nile tilapia). RNAcentral's name for it is "lncRNA (ENSONIG00000036276.1)". Lineage: Eukaryota; Metazoa; Chordata; Actinopteri; Cichliformes; Cichlidae. The record is from RNAcentral.